GCUGGCUUAGCUCAAUCUGGUAGAGCAACUGACUUGUAAUCAGUAGGUUGGGAGUUCGAUUCUUCUAGCCAGCACCA
This 77-nucleotide transfer RNA is filed under the name Spiroplasma eriocheiris. Its description in RNAcentral is "tRNA-Thr". It matches the Rfam family "tRNA". Rfam says of the family: Transfer RNA (tRNA) molecules are approximately 80 nucleotides in length. Their secondary structure includes four short double-helical elements and three loops (D, anti-codon, and T loops). RNAcentral also lists the same sequence under 1 other name. Lineage: Bacteria; Bacillati; Mycoplasmatota; Mollicutes; Entomoplasmatales; Spiroplasmataceae. The record is from RNAcentral.